UGCGCGCGGUAACUUGACCGUGCAAAGGUAGCAUGUUUAUUAGUCUUUUAAUUGAAGGCUUGAAUGAACGAUUGGAUGAAAAAUAUACUUUAUUAAUAAAAAUAAUUUAAUUUAUUAUUUAAGUAAAAAACCUUAGAUAUUUAAGUGGGACGAGAAGACCCUAUAGAGUUUAAUUUUUUUUUUUAUUAUUAAAUUCAAGAAUAUAUAUUUAUAUAAUAAAAAAAAAUUUUUGAUUGGGGUGAUAUUAAAAAUUAUUUAACUUUUAAAUUAAAACUCAUUAAUAAAUGAUUAAUUGAUCCAAUUUUAUUGAUUAAUAGAUAAAAUUACCUUAGGGAUAACAGCGUAAUUAAUUUGAAGAGUUCAAAUCGAUAAAUUAGUUUGCGACCUCGAUGUUGGAUUAAGAAUAGGUUUUGAAGCAGCAUUUAAAAUUUUAGGUCUGUUCGACCUUUAAAUUCUUACG
Molecule: ribosomal RNA, 460 nt
Filed under: Brevisiana brevis
Lineage: Eukaryota; Metazoa; Arthropoda; Insecta; Hemiptera; Cicadidae
Description: partial 16S ribosomal RNA
Rfam family: Bacterial large subunit ribosomal RNA (bases 334-460)
Source: RNAcentral